Long non-coding RNA from Oncorhynchus gorbuscha (pink salmon), 712 nucleotides. RefSeq lists it as uncharacterized. The record is from RefSeq and is a predicted model, not a curated record. The transcript is spliced from 2 exons. NCBI's taxonomy places the organism in Eukaryota, Metazoa, Chordata, Actinopteri, Salmoniformes, Salmonidae.
GGUUUGUCAGACUGACAUUCUUUUUUUUAAUGUGUAAAACUUGUUGCAGAAUGGGUCAAUCUUGUGAUACAGCAUUUCAAAUAAUCAGGUUAUCAAAACCUCUUAAUUAUUCAAGUAUUACAAAAGCUCAGUGUUGAGUUAACUCAAGCUUGAGUUGGCUAAAGUAGACCCGUUUUGACUUGAGUUAUUGAUUGAAGGAUUCACAAGUGAGUGAUACCGAGGAGGGUUUUCAGUGGAGGGACGGCCUGAGUUUUCCACAUUUACAGUAGGUGUUGACAAGAUGAGUGAGUGAUACCAAGGAGGGUUUUCAGUAGAGGGACGGCCUGAGUUUUCCACAUUUACAGUAGGUGUUGACAAGAUGAGCCAUCAGCACGGCUCGGUGAAGUCUGUCUGCAAUGGUUACCAUGUACAGACAUAAACAUCGUAAAAAAAACAAUGUAAAUAAUUGUCAUAUAUGUACAGCAGAUAUUUUUCUAGAAUUAUUUAAGCGAUGAUCUCUUGUAUUCUUAAUGUAUUUGGAGUUUGUUGGAUGGUAUUGUGUGCUGUUGAUGUGACCCAUGUAUUGGUUUUCUAUGUGUAUGCGUGUCUUAAGAGUUUUAGAAGAUACGCACGUGUAUUUUUGAAACUAAAUAUUUAGUUAAAAUAAUUUUUACUUUGUGGGAGAUGGAACGGGUAUUGGGUUAAGAAUAAAAUAAGUGCAUUUGUGUUUAAA